GCUGGGUGUGGUGGCACAUGCCUUUAAUCCCAACAGCUCGGGAGGCUGAGGCAGGAGGAUCCCAAGUUCCAGGCCAGCCGUAGCAAUUUAUCGAGGCCCUAUGCAACUUGGUGAGACCCUGUCUCAA
RNAcentral lists this small RNA (127 nucleotides) under Marmota monax (woodchuck). Lineage: Eukaryota; Metazoa; Chordata; Mammalia; Rodentia; Sciuridae. The record is from RNAcentral.